Toxocara canis (dog roundworm) is the source of this 72-nucleotide transfer RNA. It matches the Rfam family "tRNA". Rfam says of the family: Transfer RNA (tRNA) molecules are approximately 80 nucleotides in length. Their secondary structure includes four short double-helical elements and three loops (D, anti-codon, and T loops). The record is from Rfam. Lineage: Eukaryota; Metazoa; Nematoda; Chromadorea; Rhabditida; Toxocaridae.
GGGGCAGUAGAUCAGUGGUAGAGCUCCCGCUUCUUACGCGGGAAGACUUGGUUUCGAUUCCCUGCUGCUUUC